Molecule: unclassified non-coding RNA, 2333 nt
Filed under: Penaeus chinensis
Lineage: Eukaryota; Metazoa; Arthropoda; Malacostraca; Decapoda; Penaeidae
Description: transcription factor CP2-like protein 1, transcript variant X19
Source: RNAcentral
GUCAAGGGAACCCGCUGCUGGCUCUGAGUAAAUCGCCGUGUUGCGAAAGCAUGAUUCUCUGUUCCAAACGCUCCCGCGCCGGGUGCAUGUACCGCCCAAUCUUACGGUGCCUCAUCGUCAAUUUUGUGUUAACCUCUCUUGUGUAUUUUUUUUCGUGGGUUUUUGGAAACACAAAACGCGUCUCUUCAUCCUGAAAUAUCGAGUACAUGAAAAUAAAAAAAACUAGAUUUUUCCCCACUGUCACUGGCGAGGUCUUCGGCUUCAUGCAAUCGCAUUCUGUCGCUGCUUCGUGGAGCACGGAGAUAGCCCUCACUUCAUGCGAGUACUGCAACGUUUGUGACAGUCUUUGCAAAGCAACCAGUGGUUGGUCUACCUACGCUCCAAGGCUCUACUGUGAACAUAUGUUUUACUCGUGUUGGCAUAAUGUGUAUGGAGACCAAAAGGGCUGCGAAGACCGAAUCCCUAUCCACAUGAAGGGAGGAAGGUCCUUGAUGACAACACACCCUCAUUUAGUAUCCACAGUGUACCCAGAUCAAGCCACAGCAGCAUCCUGCACGCACAGCUACAGAAAACCGCAUGCUGCAUCCUGUAACUAUCAGGGGAUCACCUGUACACAGUGUGGAAUGGGGGACCCUGGACCAGGUGGAGGCACAUCGGGCGAGGUGGUCGGCGGACGGACGCGGAAGAGAAUCCUCGACCCGCUGGAGUUCCAUGAGGACGACAACAACGCCAGACGGCCGGGCAUCUCCGACUGGCAGGAGACCCUAAAGAGCAUAGGUGUGCCGAACAAAAAGGGAUUCAUCACAAUGGAAGGUGGCCAUCAGAAGCAGUGGGAAUUGGAAGACAUUGACCAAGGUCUGGCUGCGGAUUUUGAUGACUCCCUGUCUGGGCUUGGAGUUGAUAUAAGCACUGCUUCAUACAACAUGAGUGAAGCGCUGCUGGCACUACCUGCUGUGCCCAUCUUCAAGCAGGAGGCCUUGUCACCAUCUGGCCAGGAUAAGCAUAAUACAUCAUCAAACCCUGCAACGUUUGAUGAAUCUUCACAGAGCAAUACAACAGAUAGACUGUUCAGGCUCUUGAGCUCUGACAAUUUGACAGAUUGUCCUUCACCAUCCAUCCAUCAGCUUCUGCAGCAACACAUAACCCCUGGCAUUACGCAGGGAACCACCUCUCACGUGACAUCUCAUGGUGCAUCAUCAUCCGCAUGCCUCCAAACUUGCCAUCACUCACAGCAAUCAACCGUCCAGAAUAACACUUCGGAUUCUGCCCAAGAAUCCGUCACUCUCUCCAAUCAUGGAAUGUCAUAUGAAGAUAAUAGAUUUCAAUAUAUUUUGGGUGCUGCAACAUCAGUAGCUACAAAAGUGAAUGAAGAAAGCUUAUCGUACCUGAAUCAAGGCCAGUCUUAUGAAAUCAAAGUAAAGAAAUUAGGUGAUCUCACAAGAUGUAAAGGAAAAUUUUAUCACACCAUAAUCCGUGUCUGUUUUCAUGAGCGGCACUUGCAAUACAUGGAGAAAGAACAGCUGGAAAGCUGGAGACACAUGCGACCUGGAGAGAGAAUACUGGAGGUUGAUAUUCCAUUGUCUUAUGGUAUAUGUGACGUUGCACAAGAUCCCAAAUCAUUAAACAUGUGUGAAUUUGAUUGGGAUCCAACGAAAGAAGUGGGAGUGUAUAUAAAGGUCAACUGUAUCAGCACAGAGUUUACUCCCAAGAAGCAUGGCGGAGAAAAGGGAGUUCCAUUUAGAAUUCAGGUGGAGACCUAUUCUAAAACUGAGUGUGGCCAAGAACAGCUUCAUGUCUGUGCCUGCCAGAUCAAGGUGUUCAAGUUGAAAGGAGCUGAUAGAAAGCAUAAGCAGGAUAGAGAGAAGAUAUCAAAGAGACCACAUUAUGAACAAGAGAAGUAUCAGCCCUCUUGUGAAUGUACUAUCCUAACAGAGCUAUCUCCAGAGGCUGUCUAUGUACCUGCUGCUGAAUCCUCAGCCUCAACUCCCAGCUCAAACGCAGGUCUAAGAACACAGAGUCCAGCAUCUGUAUUAAAAAAUGAAUCAGGUGGCAUAGAUCAAACAAAAUUAGAAAAUGGUGUUCCAACAGACCAAGAAGAAGACCAAGAAAAUCCGGUAAGGAAGAGAUUUCCAAUUACAAGUGACGUGUCUUUCAAGGGGAAAAUAAAAAACCGCAAAAAAGAGGAGAAAUGAUCAGGUUAUGCUUGAAGGAUAUCUUCUUUUGCCAACUUUGAUUGUACCUUAUAGAUGAAAGGCCAAGUACUAUCAUGAAAUCAGCCAAGGUUCAUUUAUACGGUGUUCCUCUCCACUCAGGAACCACUGCUGUGCAAACCA